Long non-coding RNA from Microtus oregoni (creeping vole), 213 nucleotides. RefSeq lists it as uncharacterized. The record is from RefSeq and is a predicted model, not a curated record. The transcript has 3 exons. NCBI's taxonomy places the organism in Eukaryota, Metazoa, Chordata, Mammalia, Rodentia, Cricetidae.
GGACGUUAAGAUGAAAUAGAGAAAGGGGCAGUCUCUGGUCCAAGUACAGGCGGGAAGGACAUUUGGCCACUGACUCACAGCCUGUCUAGAAAGGAGAUUGAAAAAAAGGAAGUCCAGUUUUCCAACUGCCACUGCUCCUUUGACAUGUUGAGCUGCGUGAUUUUAAAAGCAUUCCAGUUGCUUUUGAGUGGACAAUUGUUACAGCAAGAGGAG